AUUGCCACAAUAUAUUUAAUCAACAGAUACACAAGCGCAGAACAGUGACCCUGAUCAACAUUUGAUAACUACUCUGCUGAUAAACCAAUUCCUGGUUUAAGGUAACUUAAGCAGACGACGAAGGUAUACCAGAUAUUGAGAAUGUUCAAUUGCAACCAUAAAAGUUGUUCAUAGUAGUAAAAUAUCUUGUACAAGUGACACGUAGCCACAUCUUUUAGUGGUAUCAUAUAUGUUCAAACCAGGUACCAGGGAUACAGAUAUAUUUAAGUAAAUAUCAUGUAAAAUCACACUAAAGGUAUACCAGAUAUUGAGAAUGUUCAAUUGCAACCAUAAAAGUUGUUCAUAGUAGUAAAAUAUCUUGUACAAGUGACACGUAGCCACAUCUUUUAGUGGUAUCAUAUAUGUUCAAACCAGGUACCAGGGAUACAGAUAUAUUUAAGUAAAUAUCAUGUAAAAUCACACUGCAGUACUUACGACGAGCACACGCAAUUUAAAUUAUAAAGCACUCAUAAGAGACACGGACAUAGACACGGAUAUGACAUGGCAUGACAUGCAACUUAUCAAAAAAGGAGUGCAUGAGUAGUGUGUGUCCAUGCUUCACGUGAGAGAGCAAUUUUGGAGCGAGCACUACAUAAGAAGUCAUCUCAUCUACAAAGAUACAGAGGGCAAAGGUAGACAA
This 679-nucleotide long non-coding RNA is filed under the name Olea europaea (common olive). RNAcentral's name for it is "long non-coding RNA (OEUR_LNC007583)". Lineage: Eukaryota; Viridiplantae; Streptophyta; Magnoliopsida; Lamiales; Oleaceae. The record is from RNAcentral.